This 492-nucleotide ribosomal RNA is filed under the name uncultured bacterium. RNAcentral's name for it is "partial 16S ribosomal RNA". It matches the Rfam family "Bacterial small subunit ribosomal RNA", at positions 29 to 507 of the family's 1533-position model. The record is from RNAcentral.
AGUGAACGCUGGCGGUAGGCCUAACACAUGCCAGUCGAACGGCAGCACAGUAAGAGCUUGCUCUUACGGGUGGCGAGUGGCGGACGGGUGAGGAAUACAUCGGAAUCUACUUUUUCGUGGGGGAUAACGUAGGGAAACUUACGCUAAUCCCGCAAACGACCUACGGGGGAAAGCAGGGGUUCUCGGGACUUUGCGCAUUUGAUUGGGCCGAUGUCGGAUUAGCUAGUUGGCGGGGUAAAGGCCCACCAAGGCGACGAUCCGUAGCUGGUCUGAGAGGAUGAUCAGCCACACUGGAACUGAGACACGGUCCAGACUCCUACGGGAGGCAGCAGUGGGGAAUAUUGGACAAUGGGCGCAAGCCUGAUCCAGCCAUACCGCGUGGGUGAAGAAGGCCUUCGGGUUGUAAAGCCCUUUUGUUGGGAAAGAAAAGCAGCAGGUUAAUACCCCGCUGUUCUGACGGUACCCAAAGAAUAAGCACCGGCUAACUUCGUG